Molecule: ribosomal RNA, 433 nt
Filed under: uncultured bacterium
Lineage: Bacteria
Description: partial 16S ribosomal RNA
Rfam family: Bacterial small subunit ribosomal RNA
Source: RNAcentral
AACGAACGCUGGCGGCAUGCCUAACACAUGCAAGUCGAACGAGACCUUCGGGUCUAGUGGCGCACGGGUGCGUAACGCGUGGGAACCUGCCCUUAGGUUCGGAAUAACUCACCGAAAGGGGUGCUAAUACCGGAUAAUGUCUUCGGACCAAAGAUUUAUCGCCUUUGGAUGGGCCCGCGUUGGAUUAGCUAGUUGGUAGGGUAAAAGCCUACCAAGGCGACGAUCCAUAGCUGGUCGGAGAGGAUGAUCAGCCACACUGGGACUGAGACACGGCCCACACUCCUACGGGAGGCAGCAGUGGGGAAUAUUGGACAAUGGGCGAAAGCCUGAUCCAGCAAUGCCGCGUGAGUGAUGAAGGCCUUAGGGUUGUAAAGCUCUUUUACCCGGGAUGAUAAUGACAGUACCGGGAGAAUAAGCUCCGGCUAACUCCGUG